Molecule: ribosomal RNA, 558 nt
Filed under: uncultured bacterium
Lineage: Bacteria
Description: bacterial LSU rRNA
Rfam family: Bacterial large subunit ribosomal RNA
Source: RNAcentral
CGUGCUGGCGAGUAGACGUGAAGGCGAGCCGAGGAACCAAGCUUAAGAGGCGAGAGAGUCAGUCAGAGUAGACCCGAAACCGGGUCGAAGUCUACCCACUGUCCAGGUUGAAGUUGCCGUAAGUAGGCAAUGGAGGACCGAACGCACAUCCGUUGAAAAGGGUGGCGAUGAGGUGUGGGUAGGGGAGAAAGUUCCAAUCGAACCCGGAGAUAGCUGGUUCUCCUCGAAAUAGCUUUAGGGCUAGCCUCGAUAGAGUCUUGCGGAGGUAGAGCACUGAAUUUCCUAGGGGGCGUCAAAGCUUACCGAAGAAUAUCAAACUCCGAAUGCCGUAAAGAUGCUUAUCGGGAGUCAGACUACACGAGAUAAGUUGGGUGGUCAAAAGGGAAAGAGCCCAGACCUCCGGCUAAGGUCCCAAAGUGCGUGUUAAGUGGAAAAGGAUGUGGGAUUUCAAAGACAACCAGGAUGUUGGCUCAGAAGCAGCCAUCCAUUCAAAGAGUGCGUAAUAGCUCACUGGUCGAGACGGUCCUGCGCCGUAAAAUGUCCCGGUCGACGCGGCCG